Molecule: long non-coding RNA, 1696 nt
Organism: Magallana angulata
Lineage: Eukaryota; Metazoa; Mollusca; Bivalvia; Ostreida; Ostreidae
Exons: 4
Source: RefSeq, a predicted model, not a curated record
UACAACCCCUAUAUAAGGCACAGACCAUUAAACAGUUCAAAGUACUUUGCUGUAGAGGUCUCACAUGUGUGGACGUACAUCUCGCCUCGCUGUGUUAUUCGGUCGCGAUGAAAUUAUCAAAUUUUACGCACUUUUUUAAAGCCAGGAGAAUACUAACAUCAAAUAAUUUGGUCAAUGCAUUAUUUACAAACAUAGUAUGCACAUAGAAUAAGAAAUAAAUGCAUAAAAUCGAAAGACCACGAAAGGAAUACUACACGUCGACCACGAGUUUCAGGUGUGCAAUCGGGUGUAUCGGAAUCGAAGGGUUUAUAUACCAGGUAUCUGUGUGACAGUGCCUAUUUACGAGCGGUGUUCAGCUUUAAGUAUCGAUUUAAACUAGUCCGUCAUUUGAAAACGCCAAGUAUCCACAUAUACAAGGCACAUGUAUGUUGUGGGGUAAUUCAAAACUUUUCAAAUUGAAAUUUUUUAACUAGGUGUGAAAAGGUAGAGUGGAAAACUUAAAGUUCUCGUAAUGGCCGAGGAAAAUAGAGGGAGGGAAUACUGCCCGGCAUACGGUGAAGGCAAUAGCAGUUGUCAAUUAGAUGUGGCUAUAACGAUGGUAAACAUAGAAACACCAGAGAAUAAAAUUCCCUUGAUGCCAAAACAUUCUAAUGAAGCAGAGAAACCACACUGGAGGAAAAGGUGCAAUGAGAUUAAAAAGAAAAGUAUAUAUGCGGUCCCCCUGUUUUUGAUUGUAGCCGCAGCUCUAUCCAUUCUAUUUUUGGUUCUUUUCGGGGAGGGUAUUUUUAAAAGCCUCUUCAAUAAAUGAAACACUAAAAUUAACAGAGAAGGACAUAACAUUUUCAUAUCUGUCUUGUUUACUAGUAUAUCUUUAUUGCAGUUUAUAGCGGAUUAAUGUUUUGUUAAAUUGUAUACAACUGUAAUAUUUUUUAUCAUUGUAAACCACAGUUGUAAGAGAGAUAAAGUGAUUUUUGGCGAACGAUUUUCGAAACUGGGCCAUUUCAUGUACUGUUUAUCUUAUGUGAAUGGUCGUAUUUGUCACGAUUUCGGGAGUGGGAAAAAAAUUCGCGAUUUUUUCCCGCAUUUUUAUCAACUUUUUGUUAACACUAUUGUAUUAAUAUGUACCUUACUUUGUAUAUACAUGUUUUGUUAAAUCAAACCUGUUUGUUGAUGUCUCGAUUGCAAACUAUGCAUAUAAUGAAAACAAUCAUUUUGUGUUACCAAUAAUUCCUGCUCACCACUAAAAAAUAUCACAAAGCAGCAUAUUUCCUUUAUGACGUAUCAUUCUGUGUCAGUGAUGUUUCAAAAAUAUGUUGACUUAUCACAAAAAAAAAACACAGGAGCGUGUUAAUUACUAACUUGUGUUGAGUAAAACGAAUGAACUGAACAUUUAAUAGUCAUGCCUUUCUUUGCAUCAUUUACUAGAGCUAAGAAAUAAACCUGCAAAUAUCUAACUUUUAAGAUGUAAAAGGCUCUCAAUGACUGUACAGCGUGGUUAAAAGAGUAUAUGGAAACAUUAUUUUCGAGACAUCAACCAUAAUGACAUUCAUUUAAUGUGUCUAGCACAAAAAAUACAUUCUAAAUGCACUUCACUAGAUAUGAUGUGUCAGGUAUUUAUUUUGCUGUUCAAUGAUGAAAUAUUUCAAGUAACUGUUUCAUAUUACUUCAUUUUGAAUUUGUUUUAAUACGUCAUUCA